GCCCCAAGAUCUGGAUCAAAAGCUCAUGUCUACCAGCCUCGAGAUGUGGGUCACAGGUGUGCCCUCCAUUUCUGGAUUAUAGUUCAUUCCAGAUACAGUCAGGUUGACAACCAAGAAUAGCCAUCACAAUAGGUAUUUUACCCUCAUAUGUGUUUGUGCACCACUUGCAUGUCUAUGUCCUCAGAGGCCAGAAUUGGACAUCAGAUGUCCUGGAACUGGACAGUUACAGUGUAAGCCACCAUGUGGGUGAUGGGAACCAGACUCAGGAACAUUCAGGAAUCAAACACUGGCUGGAAGCACAGCCAGUGCUCCUAACUGCUGAAUCACCUCUCCUGCCCCGGAUUCACUUCUUUUAUUAUAUGUGUAUGUCUGUGUGUGGGUCCGUACAUAUGAGUACAAUGUCUGUGGCGUCCAUAGGAGGGAGUCCAUUCCCUGGAGUUGAAGGGACAGGCUACUGUGAGCUUCCUAAAAUGCAGACUGAGAACCAUGUAUUAAUUGCUGAUCCACCUAUCCAGACCAUAGUUUAGAUUUGUUUAGAUUAGGGCAAUUAUUUGAUUUCUAGUUACAAUUUAGCCAUUCUGUUCAAAAAUAUGUCUGGAAUUGUUCUAGGAGAAGGUGUCAUGGUUUGGACUAUGAAUUGUCUACCAAAACCCACGUGUUGAAGACUCGGUUCCCCAAACAGCUAGUGAUUCCCAUCACUAAAGGGUGGUCAGGAGGGUUCUGUGAUAAUCAGAUAGAUUCCUAACUCAUUGAUGAUUCAUAAUUUGGUGGGAGGACUUCAUUGGGGAUGUGUCUUUGGAAGGUAUAUCUUCUCUCUGACCCCUUCCAGUCUCCUUCUGCUCCCCAGCCUUCCCCAGAUCCAUACUGACUAGGCCAGUGGGCCACACACUGGGACCUCUGACACCAGGAGCCAAACAACACUCUUAAUCUUGUUUUUCUUUGAGAUGUUUUGUCAACAGUAGCAAAAAGUGACCGACAUACUAGGGAUGGCUAGCAACAAACAGCCGGAGUAUACCAUCAAGGGGCGCACAGACCAGCAAGCACACAGAAGACACAGUCAACAACCAUCCAAUGCUUAAUUACAUCCAGGCAUCUGUAAAGGGAAAGACGCAUAUGGUGGGGGUAUCCCACCUCCUGCUGCAUAAGUAAAAACUGAACCUUUGUUGUAUUGUAUCACUGAGAUGUCAUUGUUCCCUUGACACACAUGCCAAGACUGUGGGGCUGCAGUGUGACAGGAGGGACCAUGGAUUAGUUACUUUUCCAUCACCAUAAUCAGCAUUCCCCGAAGACACUGUUGGAGAGAGACAGCAUUUAUUUUGACUCAUGGUUUCAGAGGUUUUUCAGUCCAUCAUGGUGCUUCCUAUGAUGAUGUGACCAGUCCAUGACAACAGGAGCCUACAGGCAGAAGCUGUUGAUGAUGUAUCAGAAUGCAGAGAGCAAACCAGGAAGGAGGCAGAAAUCACAUGACCCACUCAAGGACCUGCUGCAAGUGAUCUACUUCCGGGUCAGGUAGGCACCUCCCAUCAAGUGGAAAGGUAUUCAAAACCUGAGCCGUAGGGGAGGGACAUUUCAGAUGUAAAUCCAAACACAGCAGGUUGGAGCAGAGCUAUCGAGAUAAACUUGUGGCCUGGGAGAGAAGUCUCUGUGCUGGCAGAAUAGAGGUGGAGUGGUAGACAUCUGGGAGGUAGAAGCACUCUGAGUGACUUGAGUUUCUGGCUUGUAUAGCUGGAUAUCCACCCACCACUCAUUCUUUGUUUUACUUAAUGACUCAGUGGGUGAUUGACACUCCAUCCACUACUGGCAGAUGCCCAUAAGCGAGUUGUCCCCAUUUCUUCUUCAACUUAGAAACUGAGAGAACUGAAUGGGUUCCCCGUGAACUCAAGCUCACAAUCUGCCCAGAAGUUUGUCCACUGGUAAGGGACCUCCUCUCUGGGAGAGAGGAGAGAAAAAGUAGGGAGUCAGGGAAAGAGAAAAUAACAAGAAGUCGUACACACGGACCUUGUGCCCAUCCAGCCUGAGCCACUUUAAUUUCUCACCUGGAUCAACAAAGAGGACCUCAGCUUCUGCCCUUUCUCAACUCGGCCAGAGCGAAUCUGCUAAUGCAGCAGUCAGUCAGGCACAGACUAUGUAUAAUUCAGGGUUUCUCAACCUAUGCACCUUCACCACGUGGGCCAGCAUCAUGGGUGAGGGGAAAGAAAUGCUGUCCUUGGAUGUUUAGCAGCAUCUCAAACCUGUGCCUGCUACAGCCACUGUCACACUCAAGGCCUCCUCAUCUGUGACAAGGAGAAUGGGCAGCAAACACGCCAAAUACUCUUUACUCCAGGCAGUCCUGAAAUGCCUUCUCCUCCUUGCAGAGGGACAAUUCAUGAGCACCCUCUCUUCUCUGAUUCCGCCCCUCCCCCACCUCACCCACUCAGCUUCCUUCCUGCGGGCUGACCCUCCGCCUAGCCCUCUAGCUCAUGAGCUGGGGUCUCAGUCUGAGCUGAGGGCCCUGCUGCUCUUGCUUAGGGAGGAUGCCCCGCCCUAAGAUUUCCAAAGAACUCCCUCCAUCAGUAACUUUGGCUUUUGGCUUAAACGUUACCUUCUCGGUGACGCCAACUCAAGGCGCCUCUUAGGAAAUUAAAAUCUCAGUGCGUUCAUUUGCUAGGAUGGAAUGAGUCAGCGCGGGUUGGGUGAGUUAAAGCAAGGAGUGGGUUUUUACACAGAUCUGGAAGCUAGAAGUACAAAGUCGAGGCGCCUGCAGACCUGGUUUCUCCUAAGGCUCUCAUCAGCCGAAGCCCUUGCUUGUCCUUGCUGGGUGUACAGGCAUCCCAGUUUGUCCGUCCCAAUUCCCUCUUCUGUCCAGGACACUCUUUAACCUAGUCACCCAGAGUUCCAGGGCUCUCUGAGAUCUUAGGGUGUUAAGCUUGCACUUGGGAACUUUAGGGGUGUUACCUUCGGCCCGGGACACUCCAAUGGAUCAGCAAUGAUCAAGCUGGCAUUCUGAAUAGUUUACCUUUUCAUCCAGAUUAUGGUGUCUUUCUCUUCCAGGUCUCCACCAGAAUAUCAUAUUCCAUAAAGCCAGGGAUUUUUGUCAAUCGUAUUCACUGCUACAUUCACAGUGCCUAUUAGCACAUGGCAAACACUUGUUAGAAGUGUUACAGACAGGAGCAAGAACUGCUUCUCCACAUACCAGCUGCACCCUUGGGAAAGAUCACUUCUCUAUUCCUCAGCUCCCUCUCUCAGGCUAAGACAACCCAGAGCAUGAACUCUGGUCUAUUAGCAUAGGGAUGCUAACUUCUAGGUUCUCAAGAAAACCCUGUGAGAGAAAAGUUUCCUUUCAACUGCUUCUAAGGGAGGCACAAUUCCAGAACAUCAAGGUGAGGGAGCAGGAAGUGAGGUAAAGGUAGCUGAGAAGUGAGAAGGGGUUGUGGGGAGGUAGUGUCCAGACAACUGGCCCCCACUCCCUUUCAAAGCCAGGUCACACAGAACUUCUCCAGACAGGCCUCACAGAAAGCACUGGCCUGAGAACAGCCUAAGGCAAGAGGGCUCCCUCCAGCCUUGUGCCUCCCAUUAGCUAGAAGUAGCCGCAGGAGAGUUAAUGCCCUUGCAGCAUAAAGGUCUCAGCUGGUUCUUUAAACAGCCUGGAAGGGAGCCAGACCCUUGGCCCUCUGGAGGAAGGCUUCGUCCCAGUCUGGAAGCAGUAGAGCCUGCAGAGGUUGGCCCUAGGCUGCCAUGAGCGAAGGAAGAAGGGUUGAAAAGAGCCAGUUCUUGUUGCCUGUGGACUGGAAAGACCCCAGCCAGGUGAGCCCGCCAAGAACGUGUCCAAAGCGGGAUAAGUGAGGGAAGCUGCCAGAUUGUGGAGAACAAAGGUUCAGGUAGAGCUGGCCAAAAGUCUCCAAUGGUGAAAGGGGGCUUAGUAGCCCAGUAAAAACAUGCAUAGGUCAUCAGAGCCAGGGGACCUGGGUUUACCUUUGACAGCCCGGACAGACCAUGCCUGUGCUCUGCAGCCAGACCUAGUGGAACCGUUCUAGGCCUAUGUCCAGGUUGCCACCUUGGACCAUGCUUCCCCUUCAGGGCAGACCUCUCCCUCCAGUCUCCGCCCAGUGUCUCCUGGGAAGCCGUACUAGCAGAUCGCACCACUUGAGCGUUGGGAAGGCUGUCUGCGGAACUGUGCCGGGGAGGUCAAAUGAAAAUGGAGUUUGAGUCAAGCAACAGAAAACACAGGGGAUGGAUGGACUUAGAAGCCAAGGCUGACUUUAAACUCUCCCAUGCUACUACAGGAGACUGGCUACGAACCCAGCACAAUAUCAAAAAGCAAGCAUGCACAGAUAAGACUCUCAUAAAAUGAGCUCAGGCCUAUGAAGCAGUUUCAGGAAUACAACAGCCUCUCCGACUUUGCCUUGCCACUUGACUACUGUGUGUUCUGUGGAGAAACCACUCCGUGCUGAACGGAGCAGCCUUCUACCUCCAGCAGUGACUCUUGUCCUUCUCACACACAGCCCGGAUGAAAACACAACCUGCUUCACACAGCUUGUUUGUUGCUAAGUAACCACUUCUUCCUGGUAUGAGUGUGUGACCACCCUUUCUUACUGCAACUUAAUUGCGUGACCUUAACACUGGAGAAUGGAAUUGGAAUGGGGCAGGCGUGGGGGUGGGGCUUCAUUUCUCAUCACCUACACUGUCUGUUAUUGUCCAUGACCCUGAAGAACAUUUCCUGGGAAAAGGUGAAAAAAGGGAGGGGCAGAGGAAGAACUGAGAACACGAGGGAGGUAGGAGGAAGUCUAAUCUCCACCCAGCCACCCCAGAGACCUCCUGGUGACUGCAUGAGCCAGAGAGCAGACAACAACCUUCUGUCCCCUUUCUCCUUCAAACACUGCUAACCCACGGGUCAAGCAUGAGCAUAGGCUUUGAAGCCAGGAAUAGUCACCUCAACCCUUGCCACAGUCCCAAGGGACACAGAGGCCACCAGCAAUACGGCAGCAAUCUCCUCUUUCAAGAGCAAGAGAGAGAUAAGUAAGAGUUUCCUCUUAGGAGCUCUGUCUCACAUUCACUAUGUCCCUGAAGCUGGGGUCUAUGAGGCUAUUGGUGACUGAUGUUUCCCAGAAUUCCAUAGUCAUGCAGGAACCUGUCACUUCUCUCAGGAAAUCGAAUGGUCUGCCCCUAGAUCACUAUAAGUUAUCCACUACCACCAGCUUUAUAGAGGCAUGAUCAAGAAAUAAAGGUGUGUGUGGGCUGGGGGCAUGGCUCAGCUCAGAGAGAGCUCUUGCAUCUCGUGUGUGAGGAUCUACAUGCUUGUAAUCGCAGCACCAGCAAGAUGGGAGACAGCGACAAGGAAGAUCCUGGAAGUUCCCUACUCGGUGACGUUCCAGACCAAUGAAAGACUGUGUCUCAAACAAAAGAGCUAACACCUAAGGUCAUGCCCCUGACCUCCACGCAUGUGUCAUGCAUGUGCACACUGAACGCACAUUUACCCCUCCCACACCCACACAUGCACCCUCAUCUGCAUAUUCCCACAAGACCGCAUGCAGUUAAGGUGUACAUGUUUUGCUCAGCAUUCUCUACACUCAGUCUGUUUAACACAUCUGUGACCUAGCUAUGUGUGUGUGUGAGAUAAUACCUCACACCUACUCCCUUAACACAUAACAAUGAUGUAACCCUGCAUUAGUAAUAAGUGUGGUCACUUUGCUGUACACUGGUUCUCCAGAAGCCAGUCAUCUCAGAACUGCAAGUCCUCCUGUGUUACCCUUGGAUGAACGUCUCCCCCACUUACCUUACCUCUGAUCCUUAAUAAUUAUCCUUCUGCUCUAUCCUGAGGCUCUGACGUUUUCAGAUUCCACUUCUACAAGGAGAUCGUAUGCCCCGUGCAUUACUCAGUCUUCCCAUUGCUGUGACAGAGGUAAUUUAAGGAGGGGGAGGGGCAUUCUGCUUUAAGAAGAUGUGUAGGGAGGGCUGGAGAGAUGGCUCAGUGGUUAAGAG
Molecule: small RNA, 5958 nt
Filed under: Rattus norvegicus (Norway rat)
Lineage: Eukaryota; Metazoa; Chordata; Mammalia; Rodentia; Muridae
Description: uncharacterized LOC108351293
Source: RNAcentral